This 405-nucleotide unclassified non-coding RNA is filed under the name soil metagenome. RNAcentral describes it as "partial contains 5.8S ribosomal RNA, internal transcribed spacer 2, and large subunit ribosomal RNA". The stretch from base 1 to 121 matches the Rfam family "5.8S ribosomal RNA", at positions 35 to 154 of the family's 154-position model. The record is from RNAcentral.
GAUGAAGAACGCAGCGAAAUGCGAUAAGUAAUGUGAAUUGCAGAAUUCAGUGAAUCAUCGAAUCUUUGAACGCACCUUGCGCCCUUUGGCCAUUCCGAAGGGCAUGCCUGUUUGAGUAUCAUGAACACCUCAACUCUUUAUGGUUUUCCAUGAUGAGCUUGGACUUUGGGGGUUUUGCUGGCCUAUGGUCGGCUCCUCUAAAAUAAAUCAGCUUACCAGUGUUUGGUGGGUAUCAUGGGUGUGAUAACUAUCUACGCUUGUGGUUUUUCUGCCAGGUAACCUUCGACAGCGGAGGUUCACUGGAGCUCAUAGAUGUCUCUCCUCAGCGAGGACAGCCCUUUGAAUGUUUGAUCUCAAAUCAGGUAGGACUACCCGCUGAACUUAAGCAUAUCAAUAAGCGGAGGA